RNAcentral lists this ribosomal RNA (254 nucleotides) under uncultured bacterium. RNAcentral describes it as "partial 16S ribosomal RNA". It matches the Rfam family "Bacterial small subunit ribosomal RNA", at positions 524 to 776 of the family's 1533-position model. The record is from RNAcentral.
UACGGGGGGGGCAAGCGUUGUUCGGAAUUACUGGGCGUAAAGAGCUCGUAGGCGGUCUGUCGCGUCGGUCGUGAAAACUUGGGGCUUAACCCUGAGCUUGCGGUCGAUACGGGCAUGACUGGAGUUCGGCAGGGGAGACUGGAAUUCCUGGUGUAGCGGUGAAAUGCGCAGAUAUCAGGAGGAACACCGGUGGCGAAAGCGGCGCGCUGGACCCCUUCUGACGCUGAGGCGCGAAAGCCAGGGGAGCAAACGGG